AUUGAACGCUGGCGGCAGGCUUAACACAUGCAAGUCGAGCGGAGACUUCGGUCUUAGCGGCGAACGGGUGAGGAAUGCCUGGGAAUCUGCCUGGUAGUGGGGGAUAACGUUCCGAAAGGAACGCUAAUACCGCAUACGUCCUACGGGAGAAAGCAGGGGACCUUCGGGCCUUGCGCUAUCAGAUGAGCCCAGGUCGGAUUAGCUAGUAGGUGAGGUAAAGGCUCACCUAGGCGACGAUCCGUAGCUGGUCUGAGAGGAUGAUCAGCCACACUGGAACCUGAGGACACGGUCCAGACUCC
Molecule: ribosomal RNA, 299 nt
Filed under: uncultured bacterium
Lineage: Bacteria
Description: partial 16S ribosomal RNA
Rfam family: Bacterial small subunit ribosomal RNA
Source: RNAcentral